AGUGAACGCUGGCGGUAGGCCUAACACAUGCAAGUCGAACGGCAGCACAGUAAGAGCUUGCUCUUACGGGUGGCGAGUGGCGGACGGGUGAGGAAUACAUCGGAAUCUACUUUUUCGUGGGGGAUAACGUAGGGAAACUUACGCUAAUACCGCAUACGACCUACGGGUGAAAGCAGGGGAUCUUCGGACCUUGCGCGAUUGAAUGAGCCGAUGUCGGAUUAGCUAGUUGGCGGGGUAAAGGCCCACCAAGGCGACGAUCCGUAGCUGGUCUGAGAGGAUGGUCAGCCACACUGGAACUGAGACACGGUCCAGACUCCUACGGGAGGCAGCAGUGGGGAAUAUUGGACAAUGGGUGCAAGCCUGAUCCAGCCAUACCGCGUGGGUGAAGAAGGCCUUCGGGUUGUAAAGCCCUUUUGUUGGGAAAGAAAAGCAGCAGGUUAAUACCCCGCUGUUCUGACGGUACCCAAAGAAUAAGCACCGGCUAACUUCGUG
RNAcentral lists this ribosomal RNA (492 nucleotides) under uncultured bacterium. RNAcentral describes it as "partial 16S ribosomal RNA". It matches the Rfam family "Bacterial small subunit ribosomal RNA", at positions 29 to 507 of the family's 1533-position model. The record is from RNAcentral.